Small nucleolar RNA from Lactuca sativa (garden lettuce), 93 nucleotides. RefSeq annotates it as small nucleolar RNA snR60/Z15/Z230/Z193/J17. Lineage: Eukaryota; Viridiplantae; Streptophyta; Magnoliopsida; Asterales; Asteraceae. The record is from RefSeq and is a predicted model, not a curated record.
GAGCUUCAAAUGAUGAUCAUUUGCAUAGUUCAAAUGAUGUUCUUCUGUGAUUAUACAUCUCUUUUAGUCUUUCGCUCCUAUCUGAUGAUCUCU